GAUAUUAGCCUGUGAUGAUGUUAGCCUUUGAUGAUGUUAGCCUGUGUGAAAUGAUAUUAGCCUGUGAUGAUAUUAGGGUGUGGUGAUAUAAGCAUGUGUGAUGAUAUUAGCAUGUGUGUUGAUAUUAGCGUGUGUGUGUGUGUGUGUGUGUGUGGUGAUAUUAGCCUGUGAUGAUAUCAGCAUGUGUGGUGAUAUUAGCAUGUGGUGAUACUAGCAUGUGUGUGAGGAUAUUAGCUUGUUUUUUUUGUGAUGAGGUCAAAGACAAAUUCUUAAGUAUGUCAUCUGAGUUUUGUCUGAUUUGAACAUUCAUAUCAUUUCAUUUAUCCCACAAACACACACUAAAAAUCUUUUUUUAAAAAGAACCCAGAAAUGGUGAACAGAUCCGAAAGCAUAGAAGGAAAGUCCUAACUUUUUGAUGACUCAUUUUCAUUUGUCUCACUGUGUGGAUGAUGUAAUCCUUCAUUCCUCUGAAUGACACAAGCCUAAGUCCAUCUGAGAUCAGGAAUUGUUCCAUGAUUAAAACUCAUUUAUUUCCAAA
Solea senegalensis (Senegalese sole) is the source of this 538-nucleotide long non-coding RNA. RefSeq lists it as uncharacterized. Lineage: Eukaryota; Metazoa; Chordata; Actinopteri; Pleuronectiformes; Soleidae. The record is from RefSeq and is a predicted model, not a curated record. The transcript is spliced from 2 exons.